Molecule: transfer RNA, 85 nt
Filed under: Puccinia graminis f. sp. tritici
Lineage: Eukaryota; Fungi; Basidiomycota; Pucciniomycetes; Pucciniales; Pucciniaceae
Description: tRNA-Thr
Rfam family: tRNA
About the family: Transfer RNA (tRNA) molecules are approximately 80 nucleotides in length.
Source: RNAcentral
GCGUCUGUAGCCUAGUUGGUAAAGGCAGCACUCUAGUAUGUGUCUCAGUUAGCUGAGGUCAUGAGUUCGACUCUCACCAGACACA